RNAcentral lists this transfer RNA (84 nucleotides) under Gemmatimonadota bacterium. RNAcentral describes it as "Gemmatimonadetes bacterium tRNA-Tyr". It matches the Rfam family "tRNA". Rfam says of the family: Transfer RNA (tRNA) molecules are approximately 80 nucleotides in length. Their secondary structure includes four short double-helical elements and three loops (D, anti-codon, and T loops). The record is from RNAcentral. Lineage: Bacteria; Pseudomonadati; Gemmatimonadota. RNAcentral also lists the same sequence under 2 other names.
GGUGGGGUGCCCGAGCGGCCAAAGGGAGCAGACUGUAAAUCUGCCGCGCUUAGCGCUACGAAGGUUCGAAUCCUUCCCCCACCA